Molecule: ribosomal RNA, 644 nt
Filed under: uncultured Alphaproteobacteria bacterium
Lineage: Bacteria; Pseudomonadati; Pseudomonadota; Alphaproteobacteria
Description: bacterial SSU rRNA
Rfam family: Bacterial small subunit ribosomal RNA
Source: RNAcentral
GGCAUGCCUAACACAUGCAAGUCGAACGAAGGCUUCGGCCUUAGUGGCGCACGGGUGCGUAACGCGUGGGAAUCUGCCCUUAGGUUCGGAAUAACAGCUGGAAACGGCUGCUAAUACCGGAUGAUGACGAAAGUCCAAAGAUUUAUCGCCUGAGGAUGAGCCCGCGUUGGAUUAGGUAGUUGGUGGGGUAAAGGCCUACCAAGCCGACGAUCCAUAGCUGGUCUGAGAGGAUGAUCAGCCACACUGGGACUGAGACACGGCCCAGACUCCUACGGGAGGCAGCAGUGGGGAAUAUUGGACAAUGGGCGAAAGCCUGAUCCAGCAAUGCCGCGUGAGUGAUGAAGGCCCUAGGGUUGUAAAGCUCUUUUACCCGGGAAGAUAAUGACUGUACCGGGAGAAUAAGCCCCGGCUAACUCCGUGCCAGCAGCCGCGGUAAUACGGAGGGGGCUAGCGUUGUUCGGAAUUACUGGGCGUAAAGCGCACGUAGGCGGCUUUGUAAGUCAGAGGUGAAAGCCUGGAGCUCAACUCCAGAACUGCCUUUGAGACUGCAUCGCUUGAAUCCAGGAGAGGUCAGUGGAAUUCCGAGUGUAGAGGUGAAAUUCGUAGAUAUUCGGAAGAACACCAGUGGCGAAGGCGGCUGACUG